This 691-nucleotide ribosomal RNA is filed under the name uncultured bacterium. RNAcentral's name for it is "bacterial SSU rRNA". It matches the Rfam family "Bacterial small subunit ribosomal RNA", at positions 93 to 783 of the family's 1533-position model. The record is from RNAcentral.
GACCGGCGCACGGGUGCGUAACGCGUAUGCAACCUGGCCUAUACAGGGGGAUAGCCCGGGGAAACCCGGAUUAAUACCCCAUGGGAUUAUUGAUUUGCAUGAAUUGAUAAUUAAAGCUCCGGCGGUAUAGGAUGGGCAUGCGUGACAUUAGCUAGUUGGUAAGGUAACGGCUUACCAAGGCGACGAUGUCUAGGGGGCCUGAGAGGGUUAUCCCCCACACUGGAACUGAGACACGGUCCAGACUCCUACGGGAGGCAGCAGUGAGGAAUAUUGGUCAAUGGGCGCGAGCCUGAACCAGCCAUGCCGCGUGCAGGAAGACGGCCCUAUGGGUUGUAAACUGCUUUUAUACAGGGCGAAUACCGAUACGAGUAUUGGGAUGACGGUACUGUAUGAAUAAGCACCGGCUAACUCCGUGCCAGCAGCCGCGGUAAUACGGAGGGUGCAAGCGUUAUCCGGAUUCAUUGGGUUUAAAGGGUGCGUAGGCUGUAGAUUAAGUCAGUGGUGAAAUUAUCGGGCUCAACCCGGUGACUGCCAUUGAUACUGAUAAACUAGAGGACAAUCGACGCGGGAGGAAUGCGACAAGUAGCGGUGAAAUGCUUAGAUAUGUCGCAGAACACCGAUAGCGAAGGCAUCUCGCGAGGUUGUAACUGACGCCGAGGCACGAAAGCGUGGGGAUCAAACAGGAUUAGAU